RNAcentral lists this unclassified non-coding RNA (3171 nucleotides) under Hevea brasiliensis (rubber tree). Lineage: Eukaryota; Viridiplantae; Streptophyta; Magnoliopsida; Malpighiales; Euphorbiaceae. The record is from RNAcentral.
CAGAAAUAUAUGUAAUGUAAGUGGGCUCAAAAUAUAGGCUGUUUUGACAAGGCUUUUACCAAGAAUUGCUUUCUUUCCUCCAACUUUUAUCCCUCUCCUUUAGACGAGUACUACUUUGUUUGGUAGCGGUCCUAGAGAAGUUGAUUGAUUGGGUAGAGAAGAAAGAAGCUGAAAUAAAAACAGAAGCUUUGAUCAAAACAAACCACACCGAUCGAAUAACAGAAAAAAACAUUUUCUCAACCAUGGAGCCAAAUGAUAGCAGUAUCAUGCAUUCUCAUUGCCUAGAAAUAGCACCUAUGGAGGUGCACAAAGUAAUCCCACCACCCCAUAAGAGCACACUACAGAAGCUCAAGACGAGACUUAAAGAAACCUUCUUCCCUGAUGACCCUUUGCGCCAAUUCAAAGGACAGCCAUUAAACAAGAAAUGGAUUCUUGCUGCUCAGUAUGUUUUCCCUAUUCUUCAAUGGGGUCCUAAUUAUAGCCUCAAGCUCUUCAAAUCUGAUAUUGUUUCUGGCCUCACCAUUGCCAGCUUAGCCAUUCCACAGGGCAUCAGUUAUGCCAAUCUUGCCAGUUUACCUCCUAUAGUGGGUCUCUAUUCAAGCUUUGUUCCUCCUCUCGUUUAUGCCGUUCUUGGAAGCUCCAGAGAUCUUGCAGUAGGACCUGUUUCUAUUGCUUCUCUUAUACUUGGAUCAAUGCUUAUGCAAGAAGUAUCUCCAACCAACGACCCUGUCUUGUUUCUUCAAUUAGCUUUUUCUUCAACUUUUUUUGCCGGUCUCUUCCAAGCUUCCUUAGGAUUGUUAAGGCUGGGAUUCAUUAUUGAUUUCCUUUCAGAGGCCAUUCUGAUUGGAUUCAUGGCUGGAGCUGCAGUUAUUGUCUCUCUGCAACAGCUUAAAAGCCUUCUUGGAAUUACUCAUUUUACAAAACAAAUGGGUCUGGUUCCUGUUCUGAGCUCUGCUUUCCACAACACCCAUGAGUGGUCAUGGCAUACAAUACUAAUGGGGUUUUGCUUCCUUGUGCUCCUUCUAGUGGCCAGACACGUUAGCAUGAGAAAACCAAAGCUGUUUUGGGUUUCAGCUGGGGCCCCUAUUGUGUCUGUGAUUCUGUCUACCAUCCUUGUUUUCGCAUUCAAGGCUCAACAUCAUGGGAUUAGCAUUGUAAGUUGAUUUCUCGGAGUCUACUCAUUGUUACUUACAGUAUUGUGAGUUCUUGGAGGAAUUAAUGGAUUAUUUAGUGAUGUGGGCAAGAAUGAUAUACUUUAAUGUUAACCUCAUAAAAUGUUUAAUUAUAUCUGUAAUUGAUGAGUUUAAUUUGGUUUGUUAUUAGAUAGGAAAAUUAGAAGAGGGAUUAAAUCCUCCAUCAUGGAACAUGUUGCAUUUUCAUGGAAGCCACCUUGGACUAGUCAUGAAAACUGGCCUUGUUACUGGCAUUAUCUCCCUCACUGUGAGUUUCUGUCACCUUUUUCAGCUUAAUAUUUAGCUAUGAGGUGGCUUGGAAGAUGCAGCAGUGAAACUAUAUUUGCAAAUGUUGCCUAUUAUUGAACUUUAUUUCAAACAGGAAGGCAUAGCAGUGGGAAGGACUUUUGCUGCUUUAAAAAACUACCAAGUGGAUGGUAACAAGGAAAUGAUGGCAAUUGGGCUAAUGAACAUAAUUGGCUCCUCCACUUCCUGCUAUGUUACAACAGGUGCACAUCUAUUCUAUUCGGCCUUUCUUGUUUUCCUCUGAUGCAGAUAAGCAAGACUAGGCUGAUAAAUAAUAAAUAAUAAUAAUAAGAUGCAACAUCUUAAGUAUUUUUAAUAGAAAUUUGAAUUUCAGGUGCUUUCUCGCGGUCUGCUGUUAAUCACAAUGCAGGAGCUAAAACAGCAGCGUCUAACAUUAUAAUGUCAGUAACAGUGAUGGUUACUCUACUCUUCCUAAUGCCUUUAUUUCAAUACACACCAAAUGUUGUAUUGGGUGCCAUCAUAGUAACAGCAGUAGUUGGCCUCAUAGAUAUCCCAACUGCUUACCAGAUUUGGAAGAUUGACAAAUAUGAUUUCAUCGUUUUGUUAUGCGCAUUCUUUGGUGUUAUUUUCAUAUCUGUUCAAGAAGGCCUCGCUAUUGCGGUAGGAAUAUCUAUGUUCAAGAUCCUCCUGCAAGUUACAAGGCCAAAGACAGUGAUCUUGGGAAGCAUACCAGGGACAGAGAUAUACCGUAAUCUUCAUCAUUACAAGGAAGCCGUGAUGGUUCCUGGCUUCCUCAUUUUAAGCGUUGAAGCCCCUAUCAAUUUUGCUAAUACGAAUUACCUCAAAGAAAGGAUUCUGAGAUGGAUAGAAGAAUAUGAAACACAAGAAGAUGCAAAGAAACAAUCAAGUAUCCAUUUUCUGAUCCUUGACCUGUCAGCUGUGAGUGCCAUUGACACAACAGGAGUCUCACUCUUCAAGGAUUUGAAGAAAGCAACAGAAAAUAGGGGAGUAGAGCUUGUGCUAGUGAAUCCUCUGGGGGAGGUAAUGGAGAAGCUGCAACGGGCCGAUGCAGCACAUGACAUCUUGAAGCCAGAUACCCUUUUCUUGACAGUUGGUGAAGCUGUGGCUGCACUCUCAUCUACAAUGAAGGCUCAAUCAUCAAGCCAAGGAUAAAUCAAAUUCUUCAUUUGAUAAAACAAGAGAUAAAAUAGAAAAUCAAAUGUAUCAUGAUAGUAGUAUAUAAGCAUUCUGUCCUACAACUUCUGCUGUAACUUCACAAGUUUACCAGGCAAGUUAUUAGCUAUUUGUUCAUGUAGCCUGCAAAAAGACUAAUAAGAGGUCAACAGUACUUCUUCUAUCUACCAUAUUUGUGUUCUCUUCCUCACUCCUGAGAUGUAUUCAAUAUAAGGAGUUCUGUUGGGCAAGCUGAGAUGUUUAUCGAUUAACUGUUUUAACGACUGAGGUUAGUCGUAAUUUUAUAAUUUUAAAAAUAUUAAAUAAAUAUAAAAAUAUUCCACUUGGAAAAUGGCUUACAGUGAAGCCGCGGUUCCAUGUAAUCACCAAUGUGCUGAAUAAUGUCUCUACAUACGGACGCAUAAGAAGAGUAAUUAAUUGUAUAAUUUCUCGUCGGUGGACAGCUGAUUCGGACCUUCGAAAGUGUCCAAAUUCUGGUCUGUGCGACGGGCCAAUGGGAAAGAGCAAGAAGCCCGACCCUCCUAGCUUGCAAAAAUAC